Molecule: transfer RNA, 74 nt
Filed under: Patescibacteria group bacterium
Lineage: Bacteria
Description: tRNA-Gly
Rfam family: tRNA
About the family: Transfer RNA (tRNA) molecules are approximately 80 nucleotides in length. Their secondary structure includes four short double-helical elements and three loops (D, anti-codon, and T loops).
Source: RNAcentral
GCAGAUGUAGCAUAAUUGGUUAAUGCACCUCCUUGCCAAGGAGGAUAUUGCGCGUUCGAGUCGCGUCAUCUGCU